CUAUACAUGCAGUCGAGCGAACAGAUAAGGAGCUUGCUCCUUUGACGUUAGCGGCGGACGGGUGAGUAACACGUGGGUAACCUACCUAUAAGACUGGAAUAACUCCGGGAAACCGGGGCUAAUGCCGGAUAACAUUUAGAACCGCAUGGUUCUAAAGUGAAAGAUGGUUUUGCUAUCACUUAUAGAUGGACCCGCGCCGUAUUAGCUAGUUGGUAAGGUAACGGCUUACCAAGGCAACGAUACGUAGCCGACCUGAGAGGGUGAUCGGCCACACUGGAACUGAGACACGGUCCAGACUCCUACGGGAGGCAGCAGUAGGGAAUCUUCCGCAAUGGGCGAAAGCCUGACGGAGCAACGCCGCGUGAGUGAUGAAGGUCUUCGGAUCGUAAAACUCUGUUAUUAGGGAAGAACAAAUGUGUAAGUAACUGUGCACGUCUUGACGGUACCUAAUCAGAAAGCCACGGCUAACUACGUGCCAGCAGCGGCGGGUAAUAAA
Molecule: ribosomal RNA, 496 nt
Filed under: Staphylococcus ureilyticus
Lineage: Bacteria; Bacillati; Bacillota; Bacilli; Caryophanales; Staphylococcaceae
Description: bacterial SSU rRNA
Rfam family: Bacterial small subunit ribosomal RNA
Source: RNAcentral